AAACAGAAUGGGAAGUUUUGACAACAGACUACAACAGGAGGGGUUGGGGUGCGCAAUACAAAAAACGAGCUAGCCCAGGGAUUAUGGCCUGUGAGAUGCUGGAAUCUCCAUUCGAACAUCUUGGAAAUGAGGCCAUUUUACAGGGCUUUACUGACAUUCAAGCACUUCUUAAACAAAUGGGUGAAGGUAAGGGUGGACAGCACCACUGCCAUGGCCUACAUCAAGGAGGGAUAAAGAACAAGAGAUUGAUACAAGAAUCCAAACCAAUAAUAUUCUGGGCAGAAUCUGGAAGGGUUGUCUGCGAUUCACCUACCAGGACAGAUGAACACUGUGGAUUAUCUGAGCCAACAUUCUGUAAAGCUAGGUGAAUGGAAACAGAGUUCGGAUGUUUUCCAAAACAAUGUGAUCUAUGGGGUGUACCGGAUAUAGAUCUGAUGGCGACCUAUAGAACCAAGCAACUCACUUUGUAUUUUUCAAGGAGAUUCGACCCCAGAGCAAAAGUUCAAGAUGCGCUAACACAAAAAUAGGAAUUUCCGCUGGGCUAUGUCUUCCCUCCUCUUCUGCUAAUUCUGAGAGCAAUCAAGAAAAUCUGGAAGGAGUAGAGGUUCCAGCAAUUCUUCUUCAUUGGUCAAGGAGACCUUGGUUCCCACUACUUCUGAGCAUGACAAUAGAAGAUCCAUGGGAACUACCAAUCCAGAAGAAUCUCGUCACAGGGUCCAGUUCUCCAUGACAAUCCUGCCAAAUUUUGUUUGAAGGCUUGGAGAUGGAGAAGAAUGUCCUAAAAGCUAAAGGAAUUUCAGAAACUGUGCUAAAUACUAUAAUUCAAG
Molecule: non-coding RNA, 827 nt
Organism: Pelobates cultripes (western spadefoot toad)
Lineage: Eukaryota; Metazoa; Chordata; Amphibia; Anura; Pelobatidae
Source: the annotation of a GenBank genome assembly